This 72-nucleotide non-coding RNA is filed under the name uncultured Prevotella sp. RNAcentral describes it as "L13-Bacteroidia ribosomal protein leader". It matches the Rfam family "L13-Bacteroidia ribosomal protein leader". The record is from RNAcentral. Lineage: Bacteria; Pseudomonadati; Bacteroidota; Bacteroidia; Bacteroidales; Prevotellaceae.
GGGCAUUCUUAGAGCCUCGUGAGCUUCGUGUUAAUAGCUGUGUCUUUGGCCGGGCACGGUGGUUAGUGAAUC